AUUGAACGCUGGCGGCAGGCUUAACACAUGCAAGUCGAGCGGAGAGAGGUAGCUUGCUACUGAUCUUAGCGGCGGACGGGUGAGUAAUGCUUAGGAAUCUGCCUAUUAGCGGGGGACAACAUUUCGAAAGGAAUGCUAAUACCGCAUACGUCCUACGGGAGAAAGCAGGGGAUCUUCGGACCUUGCGCUAAUAGAUGAGCCUAAGUCGGAUUAGCUAGUUGGUGGGGUAAAGGCUUACCAAGGCGACGAUCUGUAGCGGGUCUGAGAGGAUGAUCCGCCACACUGGGACUGAGACACGGCCCAGACUCCUACGGGAGGCGGCAGUGGGGAAUAUUGGACAAUGGGCGCAAGCCUGAUCCAGCCAUGCCGCGUGUGUGAAGAAGGCCUUAUGGUUGUAAAGCACUUUAAGCGAGGAGGAGGCUACUUUAGUUAAUACCUAGAGAUAGUGGACGUUACUCGCAGAAUAAGCACCGGCUAACUCUGUGCCAGCAGCCGCGGUAA
This 501-nucleotide ribosomal RNA is filed under the name uncultured bacterium. RNAcentral describes it as "partial 16S ribosomal RNA". It matches the Rfam family "Bacterial small subunit ribosomal RNA", at positions 30 to 523 of the family's 1533-position model. The record is from RNAcentral.